UGAACCCAGGAUGUUGUGCAUGUCAGGUAAGUGUUCUACCACUGAGCCACAUCCCAAGCCCUGAUCACUUCUUUUUGUACAGGAAAUUUCACAUACAUUAUUAGAUCUCAUUGUUAAAAUAACCUUGCUAAAUAGGUACUAUUGUUAGUCUUUGGAAAAAAUAGGCCUAGACAAUUACAUAAUUUGCUCAAAUCAGAGGUACAAAGGGGCAAUGCUGAGAUUAGAACCAAAUCUUUGACCUUUAAAUCUAUCUUUAGAAGAUCUCUAAAGAUUUCUCUUACAUGAAGUCAUAGAGGAGGAUACUUUUAAGUGACACGGGGGCUCUUGCACCCGGUUGAACUGUGCCAGUGUGGGCAGGGGUGCCCAGGAGAGACACUUUGGCAGGUAAAGUGGAGAGAAGGGGCUACUGGAGGGCACAGCUGCUCUGUGAAGGGGUGACUAACACUGCCAUGCAUCAGCCUCGGCUGGUCAGGAAACAUCCUCUUCCCAUCCCAGGCUGCGUCCUACCCAAGGGGGCUGCCACUGGACCCUACCCCUGGGCUUGAUAGAGCUGCCCAAAGGGAAGGACCAGGCCCCCCCAGAGAGCAUGGAUUCGGUGCUCUCUGUCCAUGUGUCUGUCCAUCUUGGAGCUCUGUCUGCACUGCUGGCUGCUGCCAUGGAGCUUGCAGGCUGUAGGAGGCAGGUGGUAAACAGGAAAUGGUUAAGUAGGAGCAGGUGGAGUGGGUGCGGUGCUGGAACAGGCAGGAAAUAGCUGAGCAGCUGAAUGGACUCACAAGAAUGCUUUGCCAACUCCCCAAGGCUGGGGCAAAGGCGCCGGCUGCCCCCUCCUCCCAGCCCUGCACAGCGAGGUGUCUGGCCUGGCAGCGCCUGGCUGGCCCCACUGUCCUCCUCGGUUCUGCCUGGGGCUGAAAGGAGCAGGCCACGGGGCUAGGAGGAGAAUGGUGGUUCCUACAGGGGCGUGAGUGACCGGCUUUGAGGGUGCAGGUUAUGAGGGGCUACAGGAGGUGGACAAGAUUGCCAAGGACCUGGAGUGCUUUUCCUCUUCUGGUUCUUUGUUCCCCAGAGGGCCCUUUGGAUUGACUGGGACCCCCCAGGAGCGGUCGGUCCCACCCUCGGUCGAGCAUGCUGCCAGCUGGCUACUGGAUGUGGGCAGGAGCUGAACACCCCAGGCUUUUUUCAGCCUCCCAUUUGUUCCUUGUAAUACAGGUGCCUCUAAGUGUGUGUGUGGGGGGCUCUCAGGAGAGACAGGAAGCCGAAGCGCAGGAAAGUGAGAAGGGCUGGGGCGUGAGCGCCUUUGAGCCUCCACACCCUCCCCUGUCCUCCCUCGGUUCCACUAUGGCUCUCACCUUUAGAUUCCUCUUGGCUUGAAGGGCUGCCCCUUGCUCUAGUAUAAAACCAGGUGCUCUUGGUCCUCAUUUGUCCCCUUCUCAGGAAAGCUUAGCUCGGGGCUGACAGCUUUGCUUCCCAGGGCAGGCGCACCUCACGCUGGCCCGUGGGUUUCCUCGCUGCGGAGCAGAAGUCUGGCCGCUCUAGCCUUGAAGUGUUGCUGACAUAUCUCUGUCUAUGAACCCCCAGCAGCCAGGCAUGAACUCCCAGCUCAGCAGCUUUACCGUGGGGGCUGUAGCCUCAUGGUUGCAUCUAGCUCCUCAGAUGGACCUGACCCUUGCUGGAGAGGGGUUGACAAGUUGUGGGAAGAAGCUGUGCUCCCAGGUUUUCUCAGGAGCAGGAGACAGCAAAGGGGUCUCACACACAAACUCUUAAUAGCAACCCCAUUUUAUUGGUUAUUUAUUUUACUCCCAUAUAGUAUGUAUUUCAGUAAGUGCAUGCAUGCAUUUAUAUAUACAUGUUUUGAAUCAUUUAAUCCCCAGUACAACCCAAAGAAGAGGUACUUUCCCACUUCAUGGACAAGAAGCUGAGGCCCAGAGAAGGGAGAUACGCUGUCCUCGUGGUAGUGAUGUAGUGGGUUCCCUUCUCUGCACUCAAGCCUGGGCAGCUUGGCCUGGAGUCUGCACUCUGACCCGGUACUGUGCUACCUGGGUGAGGAGACUUUGGAGGAGGCCAGAGGGGACCGUGUGGACAAAGGCUGGGAGGCUUGGGACGGUCAGUUUGUAAGUGGGUGGACAUCCCAUCACACCAUUGUCAAUGCCGUUUAUGAAGUAGUGAGGGUGGCACCAGCAACAUGGAAACGCACAGGAGGGACAGACCCCUAAUGGUUCCAGAGAGCUACUUGGUUAAAGAGCAGUUUCUUGAGGGCUUUGGUGAUCACUGCACAGACUCCUCUCUCAACACCUAAGCCCACAUUCCUAGCCACUGGACACAUGGACCUGCCUAACAUGACUGCCUCCAAGCUUUUGUACCUGCUGUGCCCUCUGUCUCUGCUAAGCUCCAUGUAUCUUUCAAGCUGAGACUCCCCUGCCUACAGUCUGGAUCCUCAUGGAAAGAGCUGAGCCAUGAUUAUGCAUAUUCCCAGCCUGGCACUGUAACAACUGCAGGCCCUGUAUCUAAUCCCCUAACACUCAGGCAGCACUCAAAGGUCCUGAGUGCCUGAAGCAGGUGGCGAAACCGCUGAGCUAAAUCCCCAGCCCUAUCCUCUUGGAUCUACACCAGAAGGCCUCUUGUUAACAGACAAGUACCACAAGGCCCAGGACAGGGCUAGCAUGUCACUGCAUCACGUCCCUAGACUCUCAUAUGACCAGAGACCUCAUGAUAUAUUAAUCAGCUGCUUGAAAGGUGCAUAUGGCAGGCGUGUUCUCUGCACCCUGGAAGAUACUAACUUUGUCAGCUUUGAAACAUCAAAAGGCUCCCAGGGAACAGGCUGAGAGAGACACAUCACUGGGCUUCCUUUGACCACAGGCUUGCGCAGCCAUGGCCUGACUCAGCGGAAACUGGUGUGGAGCUCGGAGGUUGUGGGGACUUCUGCACUGUGAGGACCUGCUCUUGGCCCCCUUCUGGGCAAAAGGAGGGAGAAUCUAAACAGUGGUCCACACUUAGUACCUCAGAUGUCACUGCUGCCACAAAGGCAAAUCUGUGUGGGGGUGGGCACUUGUGACCUCCUCCCGUAUGACCCGGGGGGUCAACAAUGUCACUGGUGUUCACACACUGAGUCUGUCACCCCAGGCCCAUGUUGACAGGCCUGAUCCCAAGUUCUGGGUUAUAGGAAAGACUUGGCCUCAAGCAGGGCCUGGGCCCUCAGGAAGACAACAGGCCUCAGGUACUUCAUGCACGAUAAGUCAGGUGAGGCUCCAUAGUUCUCCAUACUGGGGCUCCAUAUUCACUAGACGAUAGACACCAGCAUUAAUGUUAGUACAGUUUGUGCGUUAUAAGAUGGCCUUGGGCCUUUCUCUCUCCCAAUCAGCUAGAAUGUCUGACAUAGUGAAUUCCAGAUACCCUUGUGGAAUUUUCAUUACGAUCAGGUUGCUAAGGAACUAUCCUCUAUCUAUAAGCAUUUUGGAAACACUAACAUCAGCAGAGGGUUUUUUGCAGCAUGUGUGGGUUUUUAAAAAUGUAUUUAUUACUCUUUCUUCUCCUACCCAUCCUGGCUCACCCUCUAAGGAGCUGGCUGGCAUCAGGAAACUCCAGAAAGAAGGAAGAAGGAAUGCAGAAGGAAUGGAAAAGUUUUCCCAGGCUUCACAUGCAGACAGAGGUUGUGUCUAUAUUGUUUGCCAGUGAAUUCCCAAGGCUUUGUGUGGCAGGCAGACAGAGGUUUGGAUUAAUGUAGUCAUUGCUGUACACCAAGGUUCGGGUUAGUGACAGCCCACAUACUAGACAGUGGCCCCAUAAGAUCAUGCUGGAGGUAAAAAAUUUCUGUCACCUAAUGACAUUAUAGUCAUUGUAAAAUGUAGUGCAUACAACAUAUUACUCACGUUUGUGAUGCUGGUCUAAACAAACCUACUAUGCAGCCAGUCAUGUAACUACACAACUACAUAUAGUACAUAACACUUGAUAAUGCAAAUAAAUGACUGUGCUACUGGUUAUGUAUUCUAGUCUACCUAUAUUGUAUGGGUUCUUUUUCUUUCUUUAGGAUUUUUUUUUUGUCCAUUGUUUAGUUUAUUUUCCUUUUUUCU
Molecule: non-coding RNA, 4064 nt
Organism: Heterocephalus glaber (naked mole-rat)
Lineage: Eukaryota; Metazoa; Chordata; Mammalia; Rodentia; Bathyergidae
Source: RefSeq, a predicted model, not a curated record